RNAcentral lists this long non-coding RNA (352 nucleotides) under Phoenix dactylifera (date palm). RNAcentral describes it as "long non-coding RNA (PDAC_LNC010924)". Lineage: Eukaryota; Viridiplantae; Streptophyta; Magnoliopsida; Arecales; Arecaceae. The record is from RNAcentral.
AUCACAAAUUUCCACUAGAAACUGGAAGAGAGAAUAGAGGAAAACAUAGUGGAGAGCAGUAUAAGGCUAUGGGUACAAUCAAGCAACAAUAUCAACUGCCUUCGACUUCUCUAAUGCAAGGAUGGAGUCCACCACUUCCUUCUCCUUCUCAGGGAAUGAGAAUCCACAUAUCAUCCCUUGAUCAUGAAGAAUUUGGGAGGGAACCUAGUGGGCAUGGCUGGUCACCUUCUUCUUUCUCUUUGGAAGAAUCAGCUUCGCUAUCAUGAUUUUAACCACCUCGAUAGCCUUGGAUCUAGGAGGCCUCCUUGAUUCCAAUGAGGAGUGAACAAGAGGGAACUGACUUCCAAUUCCC